GAUGAGUAUGUAUUAUCUCUGUUUUCUUUUCUUUUUUGUUGUUGUUAUUUCUUUGGGCCGCUCCCACGGCAUAUGGAGGUUCCCAGGCUAGGGAUCGAAUCGGAGCUGUAGCUGCCAGCCUACACCACAGCUCAUGGCAACACCGGAUCCUUAACCCACUGAGCAAGGGCAGGGACCGAACCCGCAACCUCAUGGUUCCUAGUCGGAUUCGUUAACCACUGCACCACGACGGGAACUCCUCUGUUUUAAAUAUAAUUUAUUUAAUUGUAUGUUUGCAUGAUUUAUUUUUAAAUAAUGGCCGUUUAACAACCGGUUCCAUAACUCCUGAGAUUUCAAAACAAUCGGCUUGCUUGGGGUGGCUCCAGCACACUGCUGUUGCUGUCACGCCCAUUUCUUAGAAAGGGAAACCGAGGCUCAGGAAGUUGUUCGAACAGACAGGGACAGACAGGGCAUAGAUCCCAAGCCAGGACUCGGCCAUGCCUCGCUUUCCUUCAUCCCACACUGGUCUAGAGGGCGCAGGUGGUCCCCACGAGAUCAUGUGACCUCGGGAAAGCCUUUGCCCUCUCUGUCCUCAGUUGGCCCAUCCAGAGAGUGGCCCGCUCAGAAAGUGAAUACUUGCCUGGGUUUCGUGUGCACCAGAUUCAGCCCUUGGGGGGAGGUAACAUGUGGAUCCUCGCCCUCACUUUAUAGACUGGGAAACUGAGGCCCGCAAAGAUCAAGUCCUCGCCAAGAGUUACAUACGUGGACAGAGUCCUGGAACCCCAGCUCCGCUGCAGAGGAGAGGAGGCUGCAGCCCACAACCUCGGGGUCUGGAGUUUUCUGCGAGCUGGGAGGCAGCGUUGCUGGAGAGGUUGGUCACCCUUCCCCAGUGGCUCCGCCCAGACACCAUUCCCCCCAGCACCCUUGGCCCUCGGUCCCCAGAGCUUCCUGGACUGGGGAGGAGGGGACCGGGAGGGAGAAUGUGGACAGCGCCGCCUGCCGGGUUCUUGCCUCUGGGGGGACUCUCGGUCUGUCUCUGCCGCUUUAUCUCCAUUCUCUUCACCGGGUCUCUGCAUCCCUGUCUCUGUCUCCGCGUGCGAGUCUUUGUCGCUCUCUUCUGUGUCUCCGUCUCUCCUUCUGUCUCUUUGUAUGUGUCUCUCGUUCCCUACGUUUCUCCCUCUUUCUGCCUUUCUCUUUUAGUCUCGCCAUUCUUUGGCUGUCUUUUUGUCUCUUUCUGAGUCUGUCUCUGCCUCUCUCAGUAUCUUUCUGUGCGCCUCUGGCUCUCUGCCUUGAUUGAUGUUUCUCUCCCCUUCUCCUCCGACGAGUCUUUACUCUCCGGUGAGAAGAGGCUGGCCGAGAACGCGCCCAGACCUGCCUCCGCCCCCAGAGCCCCGGGCCGCUGAGGGCCUGCGCCUUUAAGUGCUGGCGGCAGGGGGCGGGGUCUUGUCGGCCCCGCCCUGCCCGCCCCUCCCCGUGACGUCUCUUCCCAGCCCCUCCACCGCCUCCCUCCGCCGCCGCCGCACCAGCCAGCUCUGCUGCGCCCACUCCCCGGCCUCCGCCCGCCGUCCUGCCCGCCGCCCCAUGGCGCCCCAGGCCCUAGUUGUGCGGGGCCGCUAGGACCCUAGGCGUCCCCUUCCCUCCCCCCCUCCCACGGCGCGAACCCGGGUGUCCCCGGCGCCCAGCUUUGGAGCUUCGCGUCCCUGAAGAGAGGGGACCCCCCCCCCACCUCGCCGCCCAGUCUCCUGGGACCCGGAGAAAAUGUCUUCGCGGACGGCGCUGGCCCCGGGCAACGACCGGAACUCGGACACGGACCAGCGCAGGACAAAUGUCAAGAACUCAUGUGCAAGUGUGACCAGGCGGUUGCUUACUGCUUAGCCCAAACCGAGUACACCAUCAAGUACCUCUUCUACCCCCGUUUUCUGUGUGAGAAGGACUCACCCAAAUGUGACUGACUAGCCUGACUUGAAAUGUCUUUUUUGCACAAGGAAAUAAAACUCCUUUUUGCGUAUCAA
Molecule: non-coding RNA, 1991 nt
Organism: Sus scrofa (pig)
Lineage: Eukaryota; Metazoa; Chordata; Mammalia; Artiodactyla; Suidae
Source: RefSeq, a predicted model, not a curated record